CUAGAAAAAUUGAAGAUUUGGCCACUCUGGAAACUGCUGAGGGCCCCAUGUGUAAUGGCUGCAAACAGCUUCCUUUGUUGUGUAGACAGCCUGAGUUUUUCUCUAAGGGACUAUGGAGACAGCC
Molecule: small nucleolar RNA, 124 nt
Organism: Homo sapiens (human)
Lineage: Eukaryota; Metazoa; Chordata; Mammalia; Primates; Hominidae
Gene: SNORA70
Rfam family: Small nucleolar RNA SNORA70
About the family: snoRNA U70 seems to be exclusive to mammals and is a member of the H/ACA class of snoRNA which contain H (ANANNA) and ACA box motifs. H/ACA box snoRNAs are involved in the conversion of uridines to pseudouridines (5-ribosyluracil) a constituent of structural RNAs (transfer, ribosomal, small nuclear, and small nucleolar).
Source: Ensembl